UAGUGUUUCUACCAGUCUGCUGCCUGAACCGGCCAAGAGGACCACCUGCAUCCCUGCGCACAGUACAGAGAGCCCAGAGCGGAGGAAGGUGUGGGCCCGGUAUGCUACGGGGGCAGUGAGGGGUGAGAAGAGGCCCUGGGGAAACUCAGGAGUGCUUAUUGAGUAUUUUGUGCUGCUCCUGGGAAUAAAGAGAUCAAGAAGACCCAGCCCUGGAAGCAAGAAGACAGGCAGAGAGACGAAGGUUUGGAACUAGGCUUGGUCGUUCCUAGUACUUGUGGAAAGAGGCCUUGGGAAUACUUCACUGGGUCAGUUCAUCCUCUUCCUCCUGCUGUUCCCAGCGCCCGUUAUAACAUUCUGUGUGG
Symphalangus syndactylus (siamang) is the source of this 362-nucleotide long non-coding RNA. RefSeq lists it as uncharacterized. The record is from RefSeq and is a predicted model, not a curated record. NCBI's taxonomy places the organism in Eukaryota, Metazoa, Chordata, Mammalia, Primates, Hylobatidae.